GAUGAACGCUGGCGGCGUGCCUAAUACAUGCAAGUCGAGCGAACAGACGAGGAGCUUGCUCCUCUGACGUUAGCGGCGGACGGGUGAGUAACACGUGGAUAACCAACUUAUAAUACUGGGAUAAUUUCGGGAACCCGCAGCUACUACUGGAUAAUAUAUUGAACGGCUGGGUUCAAUAGUGAAAGAGGGUUUUCCUGUUAUUUUUAGCUGGUUCCGGGCUGAAUUAGUUAGUUGGUAAGGUAACGGCUACCCAAGGCAACGAACGGUAGCCGACCUGAGAGGGUGAUCAGCCACACUGGAACUGAGACACGGUCCAGACUCCUACGGGAGGCAGCAGUAGGGAAUCUUCCGCAAUGGGCGAAAGCUUGACGGAGCAACGCCGCGUGAGUGAUGAAGGUCUUCGGGUCGUAAAACUCUGUUAUUAGGGAAGAACAAAUGUAUAAGUAACUAUGCACGUCUUGACGGUACCUAAUCAGAAAGCCACGGCUAACUACGUG
RNAcentral lists this ribosomal RNA (497 nucleotides) under uncultured bacterium. Its description in RNAcentral is "partial 16S ribosomal RNA". It matches the Rfam family "Bacterial small subunit ribosomal RNA", at positions 28 to 507 of the family's 1533-position model. The record is from RNAcentral.